Glycine soja is the source of this 1853-nucleotide long non-coding RNA. RefSeq lists it as uncharacterized. The transcript is spliced from 4 exons. The record is from RefSeq and is a predicted model, not a curated record. NCBI's taxonomy places the organism in Eukaryota, Viridiplantae, Streptophyta, Magnoliopsida, Fabales, Fabaceae.
UUUGUUAUUUCUACCUUAGAUUGCAGUUGUCAAAGGGAAAGAAUAUGCAAGUGCUGGCUACAACGUGCUUGAUCAUCAAACGCUGAAUUUAUAGGGGAAAUGGUGCAAUGAACAAAUUAAAGACAAGUUCGUUUGGUGAUACUAAGCCAAUUACACCUAAGUGGAUUGAAGUUAAGAGUCACGUUCAAACCGAAUGUUAUGAAUGUGGAUAUUACGUGAUGCAUUGGAUGUGGAACAUCAUAAGCGGGGAGAUGAAGAGUGAUUGGUCCCAGUGGUUUGGUGAUGAUACGCCAUUGGGCAUAGACACCAUCACAACAAUUCAGAAGAAAUGGACUAGUUUUUAAAGAAUACAGACAUUGGCCGGGUGUAAAAAGGCUUCGUGAUGGGUUAGGAAUAACAAUUUUGGUGUAUUUGAGACAAUUGGUAUAAAUUUUUUUAUCGGCAUUUAUACUAUUUUUGAUUCAUAGUAGUAAUACAGUGAGUAAUACAGUUAUUGUGGCGUGAAUCAUGUCUGCUUUUGUGUAGAAUCAUGGCCAUCCUGUGUGUUAUUUUUUACACUGGUAAAUGAUUUUCCAUGUGGAGCAAUUUAGUGUUGCUCUUAUUUUUCCCACAGGAGCAGUUUAGUGUUGUUGUUAUACCUCUCUUUGUCUCUCUGAAUCUGCAAAGGCUAGGUCAAUAUCUCUCUCUUAAGUUUUAUCUCUGAUAUCGAUAAAUGAUAGACAACCCUUGAAUUUUCACAAGUUUUCGUUGUUAUUGUAGUUUUAAAAAAGCUAUUCUUUCUGCGUUCCCUCCUUUCAUGUGUAUUGCGCUGGAUUUAAUUAAUGUAAAAGCAUAAUUUGCUCAUGUGCAUGCCCAUUGUGGUUUAAACAUCUGCAUCUAUAUCCCAACAUGUAUUUAGCAUACUACCAUGCUUAUAUCUUAAGAAACUGCUUCAUAAUAUAAGGGCCUCAAUCUGUACAUUAGUAUAUAAAGGCUCUUAUGAAUUAGUUUUGAAGGUCUUGUUCUUAUUGGACAUAUUGAUCCAUUUGUUAGUCCAUGUGGGGGACUGUGGCUGGUGUCUUCUAGUUAGUGUUCCUUGGGAAAAACUUGUCUUAUGCUUGGAUUAUAGAUUUUUUUGAGUUUGCAGAGUUAUAUAUGGUUAUGUGGUUAGUAACAAAAUUCAUUCCUAGAUCCUGAAGAGGGUGUUGCAUUAAUUGAUUCGUUUAACCCAGUCUAAUUCAUUCAUAGAGAAUGUGUUGCUUCAAAAUUAAGUAGGCUGCAUUACAGAAACAUAAUUUUGUAGCCUUUAUGGCGAUGCCUUAAUAAACAACAUGAUGUAGGCAUUAGAGAAACAUGACUUGGUUAGUCUCAUUUGCCACAGUUUUUAACCUCUGACUCAUAGAGGUUUAGAUUAGUCACCACACUAGAUGUCAUAUAUGUUCGACAUUCAUCAUACAGAUUACGUUUCGGUGGCAGCUUAUCCCUUAGAAGUGGAAGGUUUAUUCUAAAAGUCUGAAACACACCUUGUUUGCUGAUUGGGUUCCCUUUGUGACAUGGGUUUCACUUUAUUAUGGUAGCAGCAAAGCCAUGUUGAGCUUUAAACCUAACAAUACUAUGUGACUUGGAAUAUUAUGCAUUAUGCAGACUUUGUGUGCUCACACUACUUCAGUAUAAUCACUGCAUGUGGAGCAUGGUCAAGGGUAAUAAAUCUUUGGGAUUUGGAAGAAGCAAAGAGUAAGUUAAUUACUAUAUUCUCAAGUAAUGGACUGUAUAAUAUAUAAUCAUGUUAUUUAUAUGGCUUCAGACUUUUGAGCUUCUUCAAAAGUGCAAACUACCUGAUGAUAAACAAACAAUUAGUUGAUUUAAGAAUUGAG